RNAcentral lists this ribosomal RNA (492 nucleotides) under uncultured bacterium. Its description in RNAcentral is "partial 16S ribosomal RNA". It matches the Rfam family "Bacterial small subunit ribosomal RNA", at positions 29 to 507 of the family's 1533-position model. The record is from RNAcentral.
AGUGAACGCUGGCGGUAGGCCUAACACAUGCAAGUCGAACGGCAGCACAGUAAGAGCUUGCUCUUACGGGUGGCGAGUGGCGGACGGGUGAGGAAUACAUCGGAAUCUACUUUUUCGUGGGGGAUAACGUAGGGAAACUUACGCUAAUACCGCAUACGACCUACGGGUGAAAGCAGGGGAUCUUCGGACCUUGCGCGAUUGAAUGAGCCGAUGUCGGAUUAGCUAGUUGGCGGGGUAAAGGCCCACCAAGGCGACGAUCCGUAGCUGGUCUGAGAGGAUGAUCAGCCAAACUGGAACUGGGCCACGGUCCAGACUCCUACGGGAGGCAGCAGUGGGGAAUAUUGGACAAUGGGCGCAAGCCUUAUCCAGCCAUACCGCGUGGGUGAAGAAGGCCUUCGGGUUGUAAAGCCCUUUUGUUGGGAAAGAAAAGCAGCAGGUUAAUACCCCGCUGUUCUGACGGUACCCAAAGAAUAAGCACCGGCUAACUUCGUG